RNAcentral lists this ribosomal RNA (439 nucleotides) under uncultured bacterium. RNAcentral's name for it is "partial 16S ribosomal RNA". It matches the Rfam family "Bacterial small subunit ribosomal RNA", at positions 339 to 795 of the family's 1533-position model. The record is from RNAcentral.
CUACGGGUGGCUCCAGUGAGGAAUAUUGCACAAUGGGGGGAACCCUGAUGCAGCAACGCCGCGUGGAGGAUGACGCAUUUCGGUGUGUAAACUCCUCUUAUAUGUCAAGAAAAUGACGGUAGCAUAUGAAUAAGCGCCGGCUAACUCCGUGACAGCAGCCGCGGUAAUACGGAGGGCGCAAGCGUUACUCGGAAUCACUGGGCGUAAAGGACGCGUAGGCGGGUUGAAAAGUCAGGUGUGAAAGCCUACAGCUUAACUGUAGAACUGCACUUGAAACUCUCAAUCUAGAGUAUGGGAGGGGCAGAUGGAAUUAGUGGUGUAGGGGUAAAAUCCGUAGAUAUCACUAGGAAUACCUAAAGCGAAGGCGAUCUGCUGGAACAUUACUGACGCUAAGGCGUGAAAGCGUGGGGAGCAAACAGGAUUAGAUACCCCGGUAGUC